Long non-coding RNA from Canis lupus familiaris (dog), 968 nucleotides. RefSeq lists it as uncharacterized. Lineage: Eukaryota; Metazoa; Chordata; Mammalia; Carnivora; Canidae. The record is from RefSeq and is a predicted model, not a curated record. The transcript has 5 exons.
GAAAGGAAAGAAAGGAAAGAAAGAAAGGAAAGAAAGGAAAGAAAAGGAAGGAAGGAAGGAAGGAAGGGAAAAGAAAAGAAAAGAAAAGAAAGAAGGAAGAGAUCAAAUAACCUCAGUUGACAAUUCAAGGAAGUAGAAAAAGAAAAAAUGAGGCACAAAGUUAACAGAAAUAAAGAAGUAAUAUCAAAGAAUAAAUAGCAUAGACAAUAGAAAGGAAAAGGAUAAAGAUCAACAAAAUUAAGCAUGCGUUUCUUGUAAAGCAAAACAAAAUUUACAAACCUUUGACCAGACUAGCCAAGAAAAAAAGAGAGGAGACUCAUGUAAAAUUAUAAAUGAAAGAGGAGACAUUACAACUGAAAUACUCAGGACCAUAAGAAACUAGUAUGAACAAUUAUACUCUGACAAACUGGAUAAUCUGGAAGAAAUGAAUAAAUUUCUGGCGACAUAUAACCUGUCAAGGAGGAAACGUGAAGAAAUAGAAAAUUCGGACAGACCAAUAUCAAGAGGACUGGGGGGAAAAAGGAAGAUGCCAGCCUGACCAAGUGGCCAAGAGCCCACAGAACAGGUCUGUGAAUCACAAAAUACAAAGCACAAAGAAUCUUCCAGAGUCUAAGUACAGCUACAGAUGAGCAGUAAUUUAGCACUGCUUUUGCCAUUAUUACAUCCUUGACACCUCACUGACUUAGAAUAAGCCCCCAAUGUGGGUGCUCAUGUGAAGGUGGCUGAUACCAGUUUCAGUCCUAAGAGUCUACACGCCUCUCAGAAACAGAAUAGAAAUCACGAAUGAUUACAAAUUACAUCCAGGUCACACAGAAGAUUCCACAGCUUUCUUAGUGUACAACAUCAAAGAACAGAACAUGGAUAAAGUGAAGACCCCUAUGCAUAUACUAAAGUUCUAAGUACUCCAGUAAAGCUUUCAUCUUAACACCUCAACAUCUAUUCUUUUUAAAUAAAUUCAUUUCUGUAAC